GACGAACGCUGGCGGCGUGCUUAACACAUGCAAGUCGAACGGAAAGGCCCUGCUUUUGUGGGGUGCUCGAGUGGCGAACGGGUGAGUAACACGUGAGUAACCUGCCCUUGACUUUGGGAUAACUUCAGGAAACUGGGGCUAAUACCGGAUAGGAGCUCCUGCUGCAUGGUGGGGGUUGGAAAGUUUCGGCGGUUGGGGAUGGACUCGCGGCUUAUCAGCUUGUUGGUGGGGUAGUGGCUUACCAAGGCUUUGACGGGUAGCCGGCCUGAGAGGGUGACCGGCCACAUUGGGACUGAGAUACGGCCCAGACUCCUACGGGAGGCAGCAGUGGGGAAUAUUGCACAAUGGGCGGAGGCAUGAUGCAGCAACGCCGCGUGCGGGAUGACGGCCUUCGGGUUGUAAACCGCUUUCGCCUGUGACGAAGCGUGAGUGACGGUAAUGGGUAAAGAAGCACCGGCUAACUACGU
RNAcentral lists this ribosomal RNA (467 nucleotides) under uncultured bacterium. RNAcentral describes it as "partial 16S ribosomal RNA". It matches the Rfam family "Bacterial small subunit ribosomal RNA", at positions 28 to 506 of the family's 1533-position model. The record is from RNAcentral.